Molecule: transfer RNA, 71 nt
Filed under: Tingis cardui
Lineage: Eukaryota; Metazoa; Arthropoda; Insecta; Hemiptera; Tingidae
Description: tRNA-Lys
Rfam family: tRNA
About the family: Transfer RNA (tRNA) molecules are approximately 80 nucleotides in length. Their secondary structure includes four short double-helical elements and three loops (D, anti-codon, and T loops).
Source: RNAcentral
CAUUAAGUGACUGAAAGUUAAAGUAAUGGUCUCUUAAACCAAAAAAUAGUGUAUAACGAACACUCUUAAUG